AGUGAACGCUGGCGGUAGGCCUAACACAUGCAAGUCGAACGGCAGCACAGUAAGAGCUUGCUCUUACGGGUGGCGAGUGGCGGACGGGUGAGGAAUACAUCGGAAUCUACUUUUUCGUGGGGGAUAACGUAGGGAAACUUACGCUAAUGCCGCAUACGACCUACGGGUGAAAGCAGGGGAUCUUCGGACCUUGCGCGAUUGAAUGAGCCGAUGUCGGAUUAGCUAGUUGGCGGGGUAAAGGCCCACCAAGGCGACGAUCCGUAGCUGGUCUGAGAGGAUGAUCAGCCACACUGGAACUGAGACACGGUCCAGACUCCUACGGGAGGCAGCAGUGGGGAAUAUUGGACAAUGGGCGCAAGCCUGAUCCAGCCAUACCGCGUGGGUGAAGAAGGCCUUCGGGUUGUAAAGCCCUUUUGUUGGGAAAGAAAAGCAGCAGGUUAAUACCCCGCUGUUCUGGCGGUACCCAAAGAAUAAGCACCGGCUAACUUCGUG
This 492-nucleotide ribosomal RNA is filed under the name uncultured bacterium. RNAcentral's name for it is "partial 16S ribosomal RNA". It matches the Rfam family "Bacterial small subunit ribosomal RNA", at positions 29 to 507 of the family's 1533-position model. The record is from RNAcentral.